This 901-nucleotide ribosomal RNA is filed under the name Listeria monocytogenes. Its description in RNAcentral is "partial 23S ribosomal RNA". It matches the Rfam family "Bacterial large subunit ribosomal RNA", at positions 1 to 898 of the family's 2925-position model. Lineage: Bacteria; Bacillati; Bacillota; Bacilli; Caryophanales; Listeriaceae. The record is from RNAcentral.
GGUUAAGUUAGAAAGGGCGCACGGUGGAUGCCUUGGCACUAGGAGCCGAAGAAGGACGGGACUAACACCGAUAUGCUUUGGGGAGCUGUACGUAAGCGUUGAUCCAGAGAUUUCCGAAUGGGGGAACCCACUAUCUUUAGUCGGAUAGUAUCCUUACGUGAAUACAUAGCGUGAGGAAGGCAGACCCAGGGAACUGAAACAUCUAAGUACCUGGAGGAAGAGAAAGAAAAAUCGAUUUCCUGAGUAGCGGCGAGCGAAACGGAAAGAGCCCAAACCAAGAAGCUUGCUUCUUGGGGUUGUAGGACACUCUAUACGGAGUUACAAAAGAAAGUUAUAAAUGAAGCGGUCUGGAAAGGCCCGCCAAAGACGGUAACAGCCCGGUAGUUGAAAUGGCUUUCCCUCCAGAGUGGAUCCUGAGUACGGCGGAACACGUGAAAUUCCGUCGGAAUCCGGGAGGACCAUCUCCCAAGGCUAAAUACUCCCUAGUGACCGAUAGUGAACCAGUACCGUGAGGGAAAGGUGAAAAGCACCCCGGAAGGGGAGUGAAACAGUUCCUGAAACCGUGUGCCUACAAGUAGUUAGAGCCCGUUAAUGGGUGAUAGCGUGCCUUUUGUAGAAUGAACCGGCGAGUUACGAUUUGUUGCAAGGUUAAGCGGAAAAAGCGGAGCCGUAGCGAAAGCGAGUCUGAAUAGGGCGCAUAAGUAACAGGUCGUAGACCCGAAACCAGGUGAUCUACCCAUGUCCAGGAUGAAGGUAAGGUAAUACUUACUGGAGGUCCGAACCCACGCACGUUGAAAAGUGCGGGGAUGAGGUGUGGGUAGCGGAGAAAUUCCAAUCGAACUUGGAGAUAGCUGGUUCUCUCCGAAAUAGCUUUAGGGCUAGCCUCGAGGUAAAGAGUCAU